Pelobates cultripes (western spadefoot toad) is the source of this 224-nucleotide non-coding RNA. Lineage: Eukaryota; Metazoa; Chordata; Amphibia; Anura; Pelobatidae. The record is from the annotation of a GenBank genome assembly.
CAUUAAUAAGUCAUCACAAUGCUAAUGAAAAGAGUGAUGAUAAUGAAUUUAAAUUAUUCUUUCCAAGUUAUUUAAAAGUAAACUAUGUUUCUAUUGAAUGAAAAGUUUGUUACUACAAGGUGGAAUUUUAGUGAAAAUUAUAAUUAUGUAAACAAAAACAAAUCUAUGAUAGAAAGAUUUCUGGGUGGAGAAUUUCUAGAACAAUAAGUAUUGUCAACAACAUG